Molecule: long non-coding RNA, 428 nt
Organism: Rattus rattus (black rat)
Lineage: Eukaryota; Metazoa; Chordata; Mammalia; Rodentia; Muridae
Exons: 3
Source: RefSeq, a predicted model, not a curated record
UCCUCUUGUUUCUCCCACCGGCCACCCCCAUCCCCUCGAGCGUCAAUAUUUAGUUCACAUUUGCAACACAUUUGCAGCAUUUGCUCCAGAUUCCUCCAGCACACAGGCUCGCAAACUAGAGCUCUGUUGCUGUGCUUUCAAAAUGGUGCAUCUCUGUCUCUAGAUGGCUCAAGGUUUUGAAAUGCCUCCCCAUCCUCAUGAUUAAUGCUACGCAUACAGCACAACAGCAGAGUGGAGAAUUGCAGCCGGUGCCAGUUCACCUACAGGCAUUUAUCUUUCUGUUCCCCCUGGUGCCCGCACGGAGCCUGAGGAUCGAAAUGGAAAAGAGAACUAUUGGGCUUCCUGCCUGGCUGGGGAGUGUUGCUGAGCACACAGUCGCUACAAUAAUAAAGCCUGCUGCUACAGAGAGCCCCCACAAAGACUAGAAG